This is a non-coding RNA of Lolium perenne, 5036 nucleotides long. The record is from RefSeq and is a predicted model, not a curated record. Lineage: Eukaryota; Viridiplantae; Streptophyta; Magnoliopsida; Poales; Poaceae.
CCUAGAUCUCACCGUGGGAAAAUAUCUGCCGCUAACUCCUUCCUUCUUCCAACCCACACCUCCUCUCUCCCCGCCUCCCCGCGCCUACCGCCGCCCGACCCUCGCCUCUGCUCCCGUGAGUCCGUUGAUGGACGCUCGCCGCCGGCUCCUUCGUGGCGGGCUAAGCCAUGGGGAACAACGUGGUGGCGGGUGGGACAAGGCGGCCGGAGGAGGGAAUCCCGGCGGCGAGCGGACGGCACCGGAUGUGAUGGCCAUGGUGGCGCGCCGCCUCUGGCACAUCUCAUCCUGUCGCGGAGAUGCUCGUCGCGAGGCGGGAGGCAGCGCAGCCAUGGGGAGGGAGAAGGCAUGGUGUAGGGUUAAGAGCCAGGACAAGGAGGGACGAGAAGGGAAAGAGGAGGGCUCGAGGACGGGAAGGCGUCCGCCGUCUCCGCGUGAAGGAGGGACUCCGCUGCGGGAACAAGUCUGUCAUCGGGCGGACUGAUCUCCUUCACCGCUGCUUCAUCUUCGACGCCCACAUGUCCUCUCCGUGUGAGCAGCAGCGACCUGCGGCCGCCGAUGCAGAUUCUGCAAUGGUCGAUGCAAGCCAAUGAUCUGCUCCGAUGAUUCAAGUUUUCCAAGCUUAUUGCCGACCAUUUUCUUCUGCUGAGGUUGGAUGGAGCAUCGAACAUUUCUGUCUUGAGUCUUGAGGGUGGCCACAGUAUUGCAGGUUUGUUCAAAGUAAACCACGAGUUCAUGAUGUACAUGAUUGGACCUGAGCAAAGAAUGGGAAGCAGUGGCGAUGGCAUUCUGAAAGUUCCCGCUUGAGCCGAGUAAUAUCGCCACCGUUCCACUGUUUAUUGAUGCCAUUGAUUAUUGCCAUAUCAAAGGAGUCUUAUCAUAGAGGUCUGAAGAUAUAGCUGAAAAGCUUCCACAGAAGGAUUCUUUAAUUCACUAAAGAUGUUGGCUCCUCCUCCUCGCCCACUGUAUCAGUAUAGGAAGCUCUUAGCCACUUCACUAGGAUACAUGCCAAAUUAAGCUCCGGUCAUAAUAUUCAGGCCUUUUGAAGUUUUUAGUUUGGAUUGGCUGCAUGCAUUCUGAAGACUCAGGGAAACACGAAGGAGCACUGCCAAAUGGAUGAUUUUUCUUGGGACUCUUGUGCGGUUCAAACAGCUCUAAAGAUGGUACCUAUUCAGUAAGGUAUAUCCACUUGCACCAUAUUAGUCAAAUAUAAAGAGAAUAUUGGAUUGUGUGGUGCAUAUUUCAAAGAAUUACUUCUAUAAAUGUUCCAAGAGUACCCGGCCAGGGAGAUGGUCUCCAGGGGGCAGUCUUCGUUGGCCGUUCGAUCCACUCUGAACUGCCCCACUUUCUACUCCAGCCGUUAGAUUCAGUCAUUUCUUUCUUCACUCGUUCAGCUUGUAAGUGAGUCCAUGACAUGUGGGGUUGAAUACGUGUCUGGUCCAGCGGUCGGAGGCAGCCAAGCGCUAUCGCGAGCGUCACCAUCAUUUUCCUGUACGGUGAAAACCUAGAUCGGUGAAAACCACUUCCCCAAUCCCCGCAUCCUCUCAUCCUCCCCAAUCCCUGCAUCCUCUCCUCCUCCCCAAUCGGCCGCCCCCUCUUCCCUCGCCCUCCAAUCGCUCGGCGGAUGGGGUCCCCGGGAAGCUCGUCGUGAAGCAGCAGGAGGUUGAGGUCGAGCAAGCAGCGGCGGUGCUGGUCGCGCGGCGCGGACGCGUAGGAGGAGGCGCGCCUGGCCGAGGACGGGCGGGAGGAGGCGGCGCGACAGCGGGUGGCAGACGCGGUCCCCGGGAGCUUCUCGUGACGCAGCAGGAGGUUGAGGUCGAGGCAGCGAUGGUGGUGCUGGCCGCGACGGACGCGAAGGAGGAGGCGCGCCUGGCUGAGGUCUGGCAGGAGAGGCGGCGCGGCGGCGGACGGGGUUCCCGGGGAGCUCCUCGCUAUGCUGCAGGAGGCCAGGUGUGCCGCGGCGCAGCAGCGCAAGGAGGCCUCGCAUGUCGUCGAGCUCGAGAGGCGGUUCAAGGUGCUCGACGGGCUCAUCCAGAGGGCGUCUGGUCAUUGAUCUUUGGCUGCCUUCUCAUGCAAGUGCUGCAGGAGCGCGUCCCGAAGGAGGCCGUCGGCACGAGCGGCGAGCAGAUGCGACCACAUGUGGGGUAAAGCUACCAAGCAGGCGAGUAAAGGAGACAAGGGACUCCUCCACGGCUCGACCAGCGACGCUUGAGAUGGCAGGAGGGAAAGCAGGUGUGGCAGGCAGAGGAGGGAAGACUCGACCACAGCCAUAGUCAAAAAGCUUUGGCAUGGAUUUGAGCAAAAGAAGAGUCACAGGAAUUUGGAUCUUCUAACUUGCAGCUAGGUUUUCGGUGUACAGAAGAUUCUUACCAAUGGUGAUAACAGGCAACAUGCUGCAGGCGGGAAAUACAGUGGAGGGUUGCUGCCGGAGCUUGGCGUGAGUUCUUGCGAGUUCUUGCGAUGGCAUGGUGAGAUAUACAUUGACCCCAGUAAUACUGAAAUAUUUUGGGUCAGUGGAAUGCAUGAAUGCAAAUUUUGGGAUAAAUGACAAGGUUCUUUUGGAGCUUCAGGAGCGAGCAACCAAAUUGAAGACAAAGACCUUGAUGAAUCAAAUUUCAUCCUGUGCACUUGGCCAGAUGAGAAUGAUAGGACUGUAUCAUUCAUACUUCUAUGGAGCUUUUGAUCUAAUAUAAUGGCAUACAGGCUUGGGAAUGAUAUACAAUUAUGGUGGGUACUUGCUGUGGUCUUUUUCACGUUUCGUGUACCUGGUGAGAUUUCUGAUCCACUAUCUAUUUUUGCCCAGUAUCUCUGAUAUCUUAUAUGCACAUAGAUAUGUUAGCGAUAUAGAGACAUAGUGUCUGCUGCUUUCUUAUCUUACAUGCUAUUCUUGCGUUUAGAUCUUUGUUCAAUACAUUAUAUGGUUUUGCUUACAAUGUUUACACCUUAUUGUGUUGCAAAUUAAUCAACCUACAUUCAUGAUGUAUGCACUGCCUUUUAGAUUUGUGUAAAGUCCUUGCUUGAUUUAGUCCAGACUCCAUUUGCACCGUGCUUUGUGCUUGUUUUCUGCUUUCCUUGAAUUACCUUUUAUGUUUGACAAGCUGUCCUAUGUCACACCGAACUUCCUGGGGGUUGUGUUGGUGUGGUGCCGCGGAGGAAGUUCUUUUGGAGUAUCACCUUCUGUGGUUUUUUGGACGCUUACAACCAGGCCACUAUGCAAGCGAUCAGAUUUUUGCAAGAAAUGUAUGGUUUCGUUUUUCGAGACUAUAACUAUGACUGUAAGAUCGCGUACAGAGAUUAUACACGUUCUGCUUGUCGUUGCAGCAUGUGCCUUGUUUUUAUGUUCUUUGUCACCUUUUAUCAUGCAUUCUGGGAUCAUUUGUUUCUUUCCUUACAUUGGUGUAUAGGUAUCAGCUUUUAUUAUUUUUCUUGACCUGUAUCGAGUUUUGUACUGUGUACUUCAGGAAAUGUCUGUGAAUACUUCACUUGAAACUGCCUGCAUAAUUUUUCUCAGAUAUGCAUUGAUUCAUUUGCCUGAAAGUAACUUGUGUUAUGUUGUGUUGGAAAUUUCUUUGAGACCAUAUUAUGUUUUGUAGUGUUGGAAUACUAAAUUAAAGUGGAACUGUCGGAACACGAUAUAUACUUUGGGCUGCCGUGUUACGUUGUUUGAGAAGGUUCUUCAGUUGCCUUGGUGGCAUUUUGUGAUAGAAUCCAUUGUUGUUAGUGUACAUAGAACUAUUUACGAUCCCGAGUGUUAUCAUAAAGAUGCUUCUAAUAAUGUUUGUAGUUUCUGAUUCACUUGUUUCCUGGGGCUUUUUCCCUAUUGCAGCUUGUUACAGUUACAUAUGUUAAUUAGGCUGUUUCAGUGGAAGCUACUCAAGCAAUAGGGAAUCUAGCCAAAGGUUUAAGAACUCAUUUUCUGCAAACUCACGGAAUCUGCAUAUAGCUUAAGUCAAAAUGUCCUUUUUCCGAGACAAUUUUGUUUUGUUGUUAAUGAUAUCUUGUAGCUUAUAGCUUAAGGUGUCUGAUCUGAUUUACACUAAUACAGUGUUAUGUGUUUUUGUAACUGGGAUAUUGUGCCCUUCACCUUAGCCACAUGACUGGUUAGUGCUGCCAAUUUUGAAUGUGUCUAUGUUAUCGACUUGAUGAAUAGUCGCUGUUAUGCACUACUGCUUCUUGUCUUGCUUGGGGUAGUUUGAAACUUGACCUUGGAACUAUGCUGUAAGGGUUCGGGCAUCUGAAUGGGCGAGCAAAGAACUCUCAAGAUAAUAUCCAUUCAGCAUUGCAUGGAAAGAGUGGGAACAGAGAGGUGACAGAAAUAACUAAAUUGGAUCCCCAACACUUUGUGAAGAUGGUGACAUGCUGCAAGGAGUCUGAUUCGUUCUCAAGAAUGCUUGUCUUUGAGUACCAACGAAAUGGGACUCGUAAGCAGAUAUUGUCUUCGGCACUGCAACCUUGUGUGUCUGCGGAUGAUACCAUUUGACUGAAAACAUAUAAGCUCUGUUUGUUGAUUUUUUAGUUUCAGACUGGGAAGGAUGUGUCUGCUAUCUUGGCUGUGGUUGGAUGAAAAUUGCGCUUAGCAACGCGCGCAUUCUAAGACACAUACACACGGAGCUGCAGCCUCUGUUUGCCGUUACUGCGUUGACGUCCAGAUAAUCAACUUUGAGAGGUCUAGAGUUCUCGCCUCCCAACUGUUUGUCAGCUCUGAUGUCAUUGUCAAGAACGGGCCUCUCAACGGCAUCGUGUACGUCCAUGUCAACACAUUCGUCCAGGUCAACACAUUUGCCUCAGGGGUUAUCCUGAUGGAGCUGAGAAGCGGCCGAGCCUCACUCUCCAAAGAUACAGAAGAUGUGGUGGACUGCGUAAAGUAUAUUCAUAGCUCAUGGUUAUAGUGUUUGGGGCCUGCUUGAUUAUGCACUGUUCGCCUUUUGUUAAACUUCUUUACUCAACUUUUGGCCUUUCUGAAGUUUUAUUUAAAGAUACUGUGUUUAGAAUGCACCCUGCUAUAAUUUGUGCUUAAUAUCUCCAUGAGUUCUAUUCCA